CUGGUUUUAGUUUUAAGUGUAUCUUACUUAAUAUUUUCAAUAUGAGUCAGCUCCAUGUACUGUGAUGAUUUUUCAAAUAACCAGAAGUUGACUGUAGCUGGCUUUAGACAGGAAGCGUGAGUACAGAAUCCAGCUGCUUCCACCCUGGGAGCAAGUCUGGGCCGGUAGUCCUGGAUUUUCUGGCCUGAGGCCUCAGCCUCCUGGAUUACACAAGCAGAACCCUCCUGGGUCCUGCUCUUCCUGACUCUCCUCUCCUGAUGGGAGCAAGGGGCUCCCCUGUCCUGGAUGCACUCCUUGAAGCAGCUGCUCUGCCUGAUCCACCUGCCUGGGAGUCCUGGACCACAAGUGAGGUGGCAUUUCUCUGAGCACUUAAGAAGAUGACUCACCCAGAGAGGCGGACUGGGCUGGUCUCCCGCCUUGGAAAACCCUGGUGUCUGCCCUGCUGAGGCUCCGAGUUGACACUUGCGUGGCUGCGACCCUCAGCCGCGGGACAAGCGAUGACGACGUUGGAAUUGCAGGAUCUUGCUUGCAAAAGUCAUGGCGCCAACUCAAGGGCUGCAAGCCCCAACAGCUUCAGAGCCAGGCUUCAAGAAUAAGCCAGACUUGAAUAUCAAAGUCCCAAGGAAUGAAAUGAAGACCCAGGGGUUGCUGGUUCAGAUCCUGGGUGCAGACCUAUGCACUGCUCAUCAAGCCAUGCUGUGGCGGCACCCCACGUAGAAGAACCAGAAUGGCUUACAACUAGGAUAUACAACUAUGUACUGGGGCUUUGGGGAGAAAAAAAAAAGAGGAAGAUUGGCAACAGAUGUUAGCUCAGGGUCAAUCUUCCUCACCAAAAAAAAAAAAAAAGUGCUAAGUAUUAAAAAAAAACUUGGUGGUGAAUGUUUACAUACAAGAACAGGGGGUAGCCUCUGCCUUCAUUUUCUCUGGAAUGCCACCGGGGGUGGGGUGCUUCCACAGCUCCUGCGUUUUUAACUCUGAGAGGCAAUGGAAGAGAACAGGAUCCACGUGGUGCUCAGCAACCUCACAAGAAGCCAAGAAGGGCGGCUGUGAUUGCACUUGGCCAACUGGUUUCUGGAGGGUGACACCCUCAAGGCCAUGGGUGAACACUGGUGCCCUCAAAAGCUUUUCUGACUUAGUGCCUGCUACUAUGCAGGCCAUCUCUGAUAGCCCUAAGGGAUGUAGAGAAAAUAAGGAAAUCCCGUGUUGGAGGAGGAUGGAAGACCCAAGCCAGAGGCCUCUGUGUGCAGGCGACCCCACCCUGGAGGGGUCCGGAGACCCGGUUUCCAUUUAUAGCCGGAUUCAUCUUAGGGAAAAAAUCCUACCAUAUCUCCCUUCUUUCAAUGGGAAAAUCAGGGCAUUUUUUAAUGAGGCAAUACCAAGUCAUCCGAGCUCCCAGUGAAAGUUGUGUAUCAGCCAAUUGGCCAAAUAAUCCUAUUUCUUGCAGUUUUGGGGGCUUUCUUUCCAGAAAAGUGGAAAGCCUGAUGGUGUUCUGGCAUUUAGAAAGAGCUCUCUUGUGCAAUUCACGGCAGUGUGUUUCCUGUAGGGGGAGAGUGGAGAGUAGGGAUGGGCAGUGGCCCCAUGAGCUUCCUGAAGACGUGGCUUCAGCCACAUCUUGUGUUGUCCUCAAGGGACGCGUCUCAGGCAAUAGGGGUCUGGCAGCCCCAGGAGAAGCGCGCACUGAUGCCAGGAGUCAGCAGGGGCCAUUACAGCCGGGGAUGUGGGCUGUUACUUCUGUCCUAUAUGUGGAAAGCCAGCCUUUACUUUAUUUAUGAAGAUUUUCAUGAAGUCAGCUCGUUAAUCCAUGGAGGAACUGAGAAAAUAGUAAUUAAAAAAAAACACCCGGAAUGAAUUAAAGAAAUUUGAACUGGUUGGGAAAUGCAGGCCCCCAGGGGCAGCCACGCCUUCCUGCCGGACGUGCCCUGCCGGAGAUGUCAGCGCUGGAGCUGUGGGUUCUCCCUCAGCAACACUGUUACAGGGAGCCUUCCAGAAUAUUCCAGGGCAAGGCCUUUGACACGAAGCUGGGCCUCCUCCCAACACAGCAAUUUGAGCCACAGCAUAGAAGGAGAGUGGAACCAGGUCCUCUCAGACAGUGUUGCAUUGAUAUUCCCAUGAAUGCUGGGCCUGAACUCCUGAUGGAGCUUCCAUCCAGAGCCUUUCUCGUUUGGGCCGGGAAGCGGGGAGAAGGGAGAGACCAUUCUUGAUAUAUUAAUAAAUAGAGAGGUUCACUAAGGCCUGUCAUACCACUCCCAUGAUUGUUAAUGUGGGGUGUCCUAGAGCAGAAUCUCUUUAAGCUGGCUCAUUUCUGCAUAUUCCAGCAGAAAGGAAUCAAUGAUGACAUUUUCAAUGUGGCUACAUGGAAAACAUUUUUUAAACAUCUGUGUGCUGUUUCCCCAAUGAAAAUAGCACUGUAAAAAUUUAGGUUUCAUUGAAUUAGGAAAAUAAAUAAGCUUCACUCCCAAAGGCAGUGCACAGCCUGCAGACAGUGCAUUCUAGCGUGUCAUAGGAUUCUUAUAAACACUGACGGCUCCCAUUUAAGAGUGUCUAAUACAUACCAGUCAGUCUCCUGAACAUGCACAGGUAUUAUAACCUCUGACCCUCAAAAUAGCCCCACGAGGAAGAUAGCGACAUCAUCCUCACUUUCUAGCAAAGAAACUGAGGCACAGAGAGGGCCAGGAGCCUGCCCAAGGUUGCAGAGCCCGGAUGUGCAUCCAGGCCACAUGGUGUCAGAGCCGACAUCCCUAACCACCAGGCCACGUGGAUUCCCACAAAGGACUUUUAAAGAAUCUUUGCACACACAUCCCCUUACUUCAUGAUGUGUUCUCCUAAAUUCUGCAGACGUGUGCGAGGGAGAGGUACUUUUAUUCAUUUGCGAAGAAAAUCAAAAUCCUAGCCUUGAAGUGAUGGGUCCCUUACAGUAAUAAUUCUAACUAACGGAAAGAGUCGAUUAGGAUUACCCAUUGGCACUUCCCAAAAAGGACCAUGAAGCUGCACACGCCACCGACGCCUCCACAGACAGCGCUUCUCCUACACAGGGACACGAGGGCGGCAGGGGCCGACCCUCACAGUCCUUCCCUCCCUUGAGCAAAUAGGUCUCUUCACCACCCUCCCACCCAGGAGAUCAUCCUUUCCCUGCAAUCUGGCCCCUCCCCCUCACCCCAUCCUCACUUCUUCUUUAGGAUUUCGUGCCCAAUCAAAUAUUGGCCCUUUCCCUCCAGCAUCUUUAACUUUUUCCUCUCCAUGGCCGAAACACAGGCCCCUGUCUCUUCCAUCUCUGAAAGACCUCACCUGCCUUUGACCCCAUGGAGUAGACCCCCAGGUGUCCCCGAAAUUCAUUCUAACCAUCCCCCAGUAGCGGCCUUGCCAUUUGGUUGGGACUGACUCCACCCCCACACCCAGGGGGAGUUUUGAUUGGGUUAAGCAAAACAAGAGAAAGCCACCCUUUGCCACUGUGACUGCUUCCAGGAUUGGGUCCCAGGCUUAUGUCAGUUAGGGAAUGGAUCUUCUAGCCACGAGGAUGAGCUCAGUGGUGCCCAAUUGGAGCAAAGCCCAGGAAUAUAGCCAUCGCUUCAGG
RNAcentral lists this long non-coding RNA (3571 nucleotides) under Equus caballus (horse). RNAcentral's name for it is "lncRNA (ENSECAG00000052638.1)". The record is from RNAcentral. Lineage: Eukaryota; Metazoa; Chordata; Mammalia; Perissodactyla; Equidae.